Molecule: microRNA precursor, 125 nt
Filed under: Brassica napus (rape)
Lineage: Eukaryota; Viridiplantae; Streptophyta; Magnoliopsida; Brassicales; Brassicaceae
Also listed under: 1 other name
Description: MIR9563 microRNA precursor family
Rfam family: MIR9563 microRNA precursor family
Source: Rfam by way of RNAcentral
GUAAUAUAAGAUACAAUCUCUUAGCUUUUAACUAAAAAAACUGUGAAACGUCUAUUAAAUAAGAAAUAUACGAAACGUAUCUUAGUUUUUUUAGUUAAAAGCUAAGAGAUUGUAUCUUAUAUUAC